UACGGGGGGGGCAAGCGUUGUUCGGAAUUACUGGGCGUAAAGGGCUCGUAGGCGGCCAACUAAGUCAGACGUGAAAUCCCUCGGCUUAACCGGGGAACUGCAUCUGAUACUGGAUGGCUUGAGUUCGGGAGAGGGAUGCGGAAUUCCAGGUGUAGAGGUGAAAUUCGUAGAUAUUGGGAAGAACACCGGUGGCGAAGGCGGCUAUCUGGCCCGUAAUUGACGCUGAGGCGCGAAAGCGUGGGGAGCAAACAGG
This 253-nucleotide ribosomal RNA is filed under the name uncultured bacterium. RNAcentral describes it as "partial 16S ribosomal RNA". It matches the Rfam family "Bacterial small subunit ribosomal RNA", at positions 524 to 776 of the family's 1533-position model. The record is from RNAcentral.